Molecule: non-coding RNA, 1732 nt
Organism: Oncorhynchus mykiss (rainbow trout)
Lineage: Eukaryota; Metazoa; Chordata; Actinopteri; Salmoniformes; Salmonidae
Source: RefSeq, a predicted model, not a curated record
CCCCCCCCCCCCCCCCCCCCUAGAGCAGCCUGCAGCAGACCAUGGCCGUUAUCCACUGGAGCAUAUUACCUGACAUUUGGUUAUCUGGUUUUUAAACUGUUUUUGGUGCAUUUUAAAUGUAUAGAGAUGUUUAAAAAUCUACUGCUGUCACUCCUCCCAUUUUGAACUUGUAUUUGUACGUGUGUUUUAAGUGUUGCAAUACGAAAUAUUUAAAGAUCAGAAUGUUAAAAUCGAGCUUGCUUUUGUUCUGGUGAAAUGUAUAUAUAUCUUGUGAUUGUUGAUAAAAAACAAAUUAAAUAAAAUAAACAUUAAAUUGCUAUAUCAUAGGAGUUUUAAGACUUUUCGUAAAAAUUAUGUAUGUAAGUUUAUGUUUACGUUGAGCUACUUGCUAAUGUUUGGUUGAGCUAGGUGCUAAUGUUUGGUUGAGCUAGUUGCUAAUGUUUUGUUGAGCUCGUUGCUAAUGUUUGGUUGAGCUAGGUGCUAAUGUUUGGUUGAGCUAGUUGCUAAUGUUUUGUUGAGCUAGUUGCUAAUGUUUUGUUGAGCUAGGUGCUAAUGUUUGGUUGAGCUAGUUGCUAAUGUUUUGUUGAGCUAGGUCCUAAUGUUUGGUUGAGCUAGUUGCUAAUGUUUUGAUGAGCUAGGUGCUAAUGUUUUUUUGAGCUAGGUACUAAUGUUUGGUUGAGCUAGGUGCUAAUGUUUGGUUGAGCUAGUUGCUAAUGUUUUGUAGUGCUAGGUGCUAAUGUUUGGUUGAGCUCGUUGCUAAUGUUUUGUUGCGCUAGGUGCUAAUGUUUUGUUGAGCUAGGUGCUAAUGUUUGGUUGAGCUCGUUGCUAAUGUUUGGUUGAGCUCGUUGUUCAUGUUUGAGUUAUUGGGUUUGGACAUUAUGUACUCCUUAUUUAACUCAUAGGAUUGCAAAAUUCCCAGGUUUUCCAGAAAUCCUGGAUGGAAGAGUCCCAGAAUCAGGAGAAAACAAGCAGGAAAUCCGGAACCCUCCAACCAGGAUUCCUGGAAAACCUGGACAUUUUGGGAACAUUACCAGAAUUUUGCAACCCAACGCCCAACCCUGGUCGAAAGUAGUGCACUAUAUAGGGAAUAGGGCCCUGGUCUAAAGUAGUGCACUAUAUGGGGAAUGCUAGUUGGGAUGUAACCAGUGAGAUGUGUUUGUUUGCCUUUAUAACAGAUGGCCUCAUUAUGCCAUUAUGAGAAAUAAAGACCACAUUGGUAGGUAUGCAUGGGGGUCGGGGUUAUCGGGAGUAUGAAUAUAUUAUAAUAAUGAGAAUAUUUUGUUUAUGUGUGAAUCACUGAGAUGUUUGUUGAUAAUGAUGUUGAACAUCGGUCCUGUCUGUCCUUCCUGUUCUCUUCAACCAGUCCUCAUGUCUGUCCGUCCUGUUGUCUUCAACCAGUCCUCAUAUCUGUCCUUCCUGUUCUCUUCAACCAGUCCUAUUGUCUGUCCUUCCUGUUCUCUUCAACCAGUCCUAUUGUCUGUCCUUCCUGUUUUCGUCAACCAGUCCUCAUGUCUGUCCUUCCUGUUCUCUUCAACCGGUCCUAUUGUCUAUCCUUCCUGUUGUCUUCAACCAGUCCUCAUGUCUGUCCUUCCUGUUCCCUUCAACCAGUCCUCUUGUCUGUCCUUCCUGUUCUCUUCAACCAGUCCGCUUGUCUGUCCUUCCUGUUGUCUUCAACCAGUCCUCAUGUCCUUAUUUUUAAGGUGUACACAAUAAAGACGCAUUGUGUUCAAGA